Hylaeus anthracinus is the source of this 4142-nucleotide long non-coding RNA. RefSeq lists it as uncharacterized. Lineage: Eukaryota; Metazoa; Arthropoda; Insecta; Hymenoptera; Colletidae. The transcript is spliced from 4 exons. The record is from RefSeq and is a predicted model, not a curated record.
GAAUAAUGCAGUCGGUGUCCGUUCUUCGAGGGAACGUUCUCGUUUCAGAGCGGUUAACGAUAUAUCGGUGCUUUCGGCUCGCGUAAUCGUUAUUGGAUCAUAAACGUGCACCGGCGAAAGGAAUAUGCAUGGCGUUCCUGGACUGUUCGGUUAAACUUUACCAGUGUACUCUACUAAUCACUUUGAUGAAAGGUUGUCGUGCAAAUGUAAGUCUGCGAAUAUGUCGCUCUAGCUGACGGACAUUGAAAAUUGCACGUUGGUGGACACGUUCCAGCAUUCGAAGGAACUGUUAAUCUGAAUUUUAUUUGACGUUUCUGGGAUACCGUGACUGGACGUGAACAAUAAUGCUUAGACAGGGAAGAAACGAGGGUAAUAAAUUAGCAAACGAUGUAUUUAAGUGUCUCUACUUCGAAUACUUUCCGAGAUACACCUUGGCAUUUUACGAGAGUGAAUGUAGAAGGUUUCCUAAUGAUAGUAAUGUUUAGACGUGUACACUAAAAUGUAUCUUGAAAGGCAGUGAUACACUGAAAGAAAAUGUAGAAAAAUAUCGAUUCCUUGCCGGAACAACUCGUGCCACAAGUGGAUUCAUGAGCCCUUUGUUAGACCCCACACGGAAAUUACAUGCUCCAGCUGUAAUCAUUAAUGCUGGGAAUGGAGGAGGAGAGAAAAGGCAAGAGUUCGCGAGUUUCGAUUGGAAUCUCGUAUUAGCGAAUAACUUUCGGGGGCGUCGCCACAACACAGAGCGUUCCUAAACUGUUUGACGAAAGUUUCCUAGGGUUCUCUACUAAUUGAUGGGUCCGGUCCGGAAGCCACUUAUCUCCAUAUUACUAUGACAAUCGGUUAAGUGCGUAAGAAUACCUCAUUAAAUCUUGUAAUACACAAAAUCAGUCUAAAAAUAUAUAGUAUAGUUAGUAAGUUAUGCAUUGACAAUAAAAGGUCAUCCAGAAGAGGCUCCAAGAUUUGUUUUUUUUAAUAACAAAAUAUGCCUGUCAGGGUAGUCAUGGUGGACACUUUAAUGAGAUCAUCUUUCAUGUUUGAUUGUAAUCAUGAGUAGGUACUUUUAUUUUAAAUAAAGGAAUUGGAAAUAUAUUCCAUACCAUUUCUGGUUCAUUAAACAACAGAAUCGUGUCAAUAAUAAAAGAAGGCGUCAUUUUCAAAAUUUUAAAAGAGAUCAAUUUACUUCCACGAACCAAGUUGAUCGCGAUUUAGUCGUCGACUAAUUUCUUUGCAAAUUGUCGUCACCUAUUGAUGAUUGAGUCAUCCUGAUUUCUCUUCAAUCUCGUCCCCUUGUGUAUUUCCAACUAAUUAAAUAAUAAAUCCUAGUGAUCCUUAACUGGCAAAAAUCAACAAUUUUUAUCAUCAAACAUACUCCAACAACGUCACACCUAGUAACAUACAUCCUGCCCUUCCAAUAUAUAUGAAGCUAUCAAUGAUUAGGUGUCGAACCAGCGGAAAUUUCAUUUAAACGACCCCGUAGCGUUAACCAAAAUUUACGUUCGAGCUGUCCCAACCCUGCUCCCAACGGCGUGGCGCAUUAGAUCUCCUUGAAGCUUCAGCCUCGAAUAAUUUAUAGACCGCGCGCUGGAACAUAGUCCUCGGGAGCCGCCAUUGGCUCCGCGAGCGGGCCACGAAACGUAUUGUUCCAGGAUCGUGUUGUCGGCCGUGUACGUACAUUUAUUUAAAUAUAUCGGUUACGUCGCGUACGAGGACCUUACAGAAACGUGCCAACGUAGAACGUCACAGGAAGCAGGUCGUUAAUCUGCGGCUACGAUCUCAUUUCCACUAAUUGGCUGAUAGGGACGCCCGAUACGGACGAUACCGGGGUACGUACGCGGACACACGUGCAACCACAAAGACCCACGUCGGGGGAAAGGCUGCGGAAUAAAAAAAAAAAAGAAAGCAAGACCGCACUUACGUACGCGCGCGUGCUGCACGAGAUUUUCAGGGGGCUAAAGAGCUCGUUCAUUCGUUGAUUCUGUGGGUGGCAAGAGAUUCAUCGGUUUUGGGAGCAUGGUAAUCGAUUUGAGAGAUGACAGGACCUGAAAAGGUAAAAAGUGACUGAUUCAGGGGAUUUUUCUAUGAUGAAAUUGGAGUAAAGUAGGUUUAUGGUUUCUAGUGGAUGGUUGAGGGAGAUGUUGGCGUGGGAUUAGGUGUUUCGUCGGUAAUAUUGAGUAUGCUGUCACUAAAACAGAGGAUAUUGUCGAUAAAAGAGAGAAGAUUGUUGUUAAAACAGUGUACAUUACUGUUAAACCAAACCUAGCUGUUGGUAAAGUAGAUAACACUGUUGAUAAGUCAAAGCGUCCUGUUUUAACGACAGUGGAGUCUGUUUUACCCAUAAAAUAUCUUCUCGUUUACCUGUACCUGCCUCAUUUAAGUUCCAAAAACCCAGCUGUACCCUUCGAACUCUCUUUACUUCUACGAAAAGUGUCUCCUAAAUAAAUUAAAGAUACAUGUUGCGAAUACAUAUAAAAAUAUAUGAGCCUUCUAUUUAUCACAACAAUCACUCUCUUUACUCUUACUCAUUUCAACAAAUAUUUAUUACUGCGCGUGCGUAGCCAUACACGGUAAUACGUGCAAUAGUCAUAAAGACAGGGGAGAGGCUGAUUAAAAAAAAGAAAAAAAAAAAAAUGCGAGAGUGCACUCGCGUACGCGCGUGCUGCACGAGAUUUUCAGAGGGUUAAAGAGCCCUCUUCUCGAGCUCGUCUCCCGACGUGCUCGGCCCUUGAUCGUCGACUUCUUCAGCCCUCGCUAUGCCUAUCGCCCCGUUUCCUUUUUUCUCCCCUCUUGCCUUCGUACGACGACGCCUUCCGUCCGUGAAUUUCUGCGUUUUCCCCUCUCGCGAUGUUGCUCAAGCAUGGAGCAACGACAUACGAGAGAAUUACACGCGGAGGAAAUACGCGGGGGGAACGAUACGUUGAGAGGGCAAGGGAGAACGAUGGAGGGAGUGGUUAACAUGGAGUUAAUCCAAACAAUAGGUGUGUGUAAUCCAGCCCAGGAUACAUAGAUGUACAAAUACACGUUCAUCUUCGAAGGGGAGGAGUGGAACUAAAGUUUCACGUACUCGCAUUGGAAAUAUUUAAUAAUAAUUUGAAAUGUUUUAAACAAUUUGUUGUUUCAUUUUGGUAUAUUUUCUGUAAAUUCAUAACAUAACUAUGACUUUUUCUGUUAAUUUCUAAAGCUGAAAGGUUGGUGAAUUAUUUUGAAAUUGUUUUAGAUUUUUCACGAAUGCUUAUAGGCUACUCGUUAUGCAUCUGUGUUUAUUUUGAACUCUUUCGAUUUGAGAGUUAUACCAAUAUCGAUGUAAUUUUGAAAAACACAAUUAUUCUAAAUGAUCAUAAAAUGAAAUGAUAUAUUCUACGCCAUAAUAUUUCAAGUACUAUUAUUUAAAAAGUGAUCACAGCUAUGAAAAUAAUUAUGAAAUAAAAUUACGUUAGUGCAGACUUUUGCUCAACCCCCGUUUCUGUUUCAUAUUAUUCGUUCUGCUAUUUCGUGUGUCGAUUAAAACGAAUCUGGACUUUCUAAACGGAGUGUCUUUCAUCCAGAAAAUCGCAUUUACGUGACAACUGUAUGCAUCGUCAGCGGUGAAAGGUUACGCGGAUACGCGUUGGCACGCCAAGGUUUAAGCUUUCAGCUAACCACCCGCGAUUUCGCUUUUACGACUAGCAUCGUCGUCGAUAAGAGCCAUGAUAAAACAGCGGACCUCCCGUUGUACUCUCAUAUUUCGUUCCUCGGACUAUUUAGAUCCAAACCUUCUCGGUAUUCUUUUGGGAUUGGUCCCUCGACGUGCACGGACUGACGCGACGAGUUCAAACUCUUACGCGCGUCCACUUUUCUUCCAUUAUCUUCAUUUCCCUGACGCUGGUCCCUCCCUUCCGCGGUUGCCAAGAUACUCGCGUCUCUGGGGUGUUUUUUAUUACCUUUUAAGCGCGUCGUUCUCCUUUCCACCGACGCUCAUAAGGGGAUGGUCUCAUUGGCGAGCUGUACGAGGAAAAGGAAAGGUGUUCUUUGGGAAUUUCUUGCGAGGGAGGCACGCACGUGAAUAAUUUCAGAUUUCUGUGUGUUAUUGUGGAGCACAUUUCCUGUAUGAACAUAUUACGGAUCUUGAAACGUGUAUCCAAUCAUGAGUUAUGGAUUAAACAACA